CACCGGCAGCUCUAGUGGUAACAAUUUUUAUUGGGCCCUAAAGCGUCCGUAACCGGUUUAAUAAGUCUCUGGUGAAAUCCUGCAGCUUAACUGUGGGAAUUGCUGGAGAUACUAUUAGACUUGAGACCGGGAGAGGUUAGAGGUACUCCCAGGGUAGAGGUGAAAUUCUGUAAUCCUGGGAGGACCACCUGUGACGAAGGCGGCUAACUGGAACGAACCUGACGGUGAGGGACGAAAGCUAGGGGCGCGAACCGGAUUAGAUACCCUGGUAGUCCCUGAGCGGGCUGGCAA
This 291-nucleotide ribosomal RNA is filed under the name uncultured prokaryote. RNAcentral describes it as "partial 16S ribosomal RNA". It matches the Rfam family "Archaeal small subunit ribosomal RNA", at positions 474 to 769 of the family's 1478-position model. The record is from RNAcentral.